RNAcentral lists this small nuclear RNA (97 nucleotides) under Fukomys damarensis (Damara mole-rat). RNAcentral's name for it is "U2 spliceosomal RNA". It matches the Rfam family "U2 spliceosomal RNA". From Rfam's summary of the family: U2 is a small nuclear RNA (snRNA) component of the spliceosome (involved in pre-mRNA splicing). Complementary binding between U2 snRNA (in an area lying towards the 5' end but 3' to hairpin I) and the branchpoint sequence (BPS) of the intron results the bulging out of an unpaired adenosine, on the BPS, which initiates a nucleophilic attack at the intronic 5' splice site, thus starting the first of two transesterification reactions that mediate splicing. The record is from Rfam by way of RNAcentral. Lineage: Eukaryota; Metazoa; Chordata; Mammalia; Rodentia; Bathyergidae.
AUCGCUUCUCGGCCUUUGGCUAGGAUCAAGUGUAGCAUUUGUAAAAUAGUACCUUAGAGUUAUUUUUUAAAGAAAAUUUUUAAGUGAAUUAUCUUUC